Molecule: long non-coding RNA, 1306 nt
Organism: Felis catus (domestic cat)
Lineage: Eukaryota; Metazoa; Chordata; Mammalia; Carnivora; Felidae
Exons: 2
Source: RefSeq, a predicted model, not a curated record
UGGUGCACCUGCGCCAUCUUUGUUUUUGCCUCUGCUACGGAGAACUUGGAGACUGUCAAGUACUUUGUAAGACAGAAACCUUUAUUGUAUUAUGCCUCUGAGAUUUCAUGGUUAAGGUCUUCCUGCAAACUAGUUCGGUCUGUCCUAAUACAUGCCUCCCUCCCGCCCCCCACCCCUUCCAUGUUGCCCCAAGACACCUUCUGGGCAUAGCUAAUGUAAGAAAGAGAAACCUCCUUCCCAAACUUGCAUUGUGCCUUUCUGUUUUACCUGGGGUAUGUCAGGCUUCCUCAUCAGCAACUGGGAGGGUCGGCCUGCUUGGGUCACGUGCCCACCCCUCCCAGGGUCACUGAGUAGCGGGAUUGGGGCGUUUUGAUUGGCCAUCCUGGGCUGUGGAGGUGGGGCCAUAUGAUUGACAGUCCCAGCAGGGGAACGAGACAAUUUGGGAAAAGAAAAGAUUCCAAGCAGCUGAAAACAUCUAUUGCAAAUGCUGUUCCUUGCACCACCGUGAGCCAGACAGCUAGAAUGGCUCAGAUAUUUCAAGAAGACCUUACCGCCAGGGCCCCAGGAAAGCUGUCUGGCUAGAGAGAGGGUGUGUGAGCAGGCAAAAGGGCCGGAGGGAAAGAGAGAAUCCUAAGGAGGCUGCACACUCAGCAUGGAGCCCGUGCUUGAUCCCACAACUCUGGGAUCAUGACCUGAGCCAAAAUCAACAAUCAGAUGCUCAAUCGACUGAGCCACCCAGGCGCCCUUAAUGGCUGUGGUUUAGUCCAUGCCAAAGUGUCCUUUCGUCUGGAGACCAAGCCUUCAUCCUCUGCUAGCAACCUUGCUCCAAGAUUUUUCCACCAGAGAGGUUCCCAGGAUCCUCUACCCUGGACCCCUCCCAGUCUGCUUGAAGUCCAGAAGAAGGCAGAGUAGAGGGAGCAAGCCGCCUCUGAGAUUUAGCACGGCUCUAAAAUUUCACAAGCUCCAACUUUGUCCUUGAAGAUUUGCUCUCUGCUAUGGUCUGAAUGUUUGUGUCCCCCAUCAAUUCAUAUGUUAUAACCCUAAGCCCCAGUGUGAUGAUAUUAAGAGGUGGGGGCCCUUGGGGUGAUAAGGCCAUGAGAGCAUUCCCUCGGGAUGGGGUUAGCGUCUCACAAAAAAGGUCUGAGAGAGCUCCCUCUGCACUUCCAUCACGUGAGGACACCGUGAGAAGGCAAUGGCCAUGAACCGGGAAGGGGGCCCUCACCAGAACAUGACCAUGUUGGAGCCUCAAUCUUGGACUUUUGGCCUCCAGAACUGCAAGAAAAAUAAACUUCUGUUGUUUAUCAAC